UGUUGCUGGAUGUUUAAAUCACACAAAUCGCCCUUUUUUGAUUCAGAAAUGAAGAGGCAGCAGUGCUGGCAAAUAAUCAUUCGCUACCUUGUAAGAUUUAAAUUUUGAUAUAGUUUAGUGGGACCACCGGUCGCCUACUUUAAAGCCACACUUUAAGCUCACUAAAGUCAGUAUCAGUUUUCUGUGCUUCCAUUUCUUCACCUCUGGUUCACUUGAUUAUCAAACAGGAACAAACAAAUGUCACUUUUAAGCUACGUGAUAAACUCUGUGUGUGGUUGACUGACACUGCGAAGCGGCUGUUGUUACCUCUUUUGGUUUCUGCUUUACAUUCUUAGCGACAGAGUCUAACUCUAUAACAGAGGAAAAAAAACAGAGGUGAAACUGUCACGGGGGUUCUGUGCAGAGAACUUUGUGCUGAUGCAGACAGCUUCACAUCCGUGUAACAAAGGAGAAAUCUGAUUUGAAAACUACAGUAUGUGCACUAACAUCACCAACAACACUGACACGACCUGCACAGUGGAUACUCUUCAGGGUUUGGCUUACUGUCCAUUGUUUUUGCUUGGUUUUCUUGUCAAUUUUAUGGCUCUGCGGGCCUGCAUUGCCCAGCGAUCAUCCUGGACAGAUACCCACAUCUACAUGUUGAACUUGGCUGCAGCUGACUCCACCCUCCUCCUCUUUCUUCCCUUCAGGAUCUACGAUGCCUUCUUCUGCCUGCCCAAGACUUCCCUCUGUACAUUCCUUUUCAGCAUACAUUACAUCAAUGUGUACGCCAGCAUUUUCACCUCAGCAGCCAUCAGUGUGCAUCGAUACCUGGCUAUAAGGUUCCCAAUGCGUGCCAGAUCAUGGAGGAAGAAGAAAGAGGUUGCCUUUGCUGUUUGUGUGGCUAUUUGGGUGUUUGUGGUGACAAUAUGUGCUAUAUUCAAAGAGAAUAACUCCCCUGAAAAACUCUUGACUUGUUAUGAAAGAUGCAGGGAACACCGUCUUGAAUUACUGUUUGUUGUCAUCCUGGUAUCUGCAGGCUUCCUUGUCCCACUCUUGAUAAUUGUUUUCUGUUCCAGUCAGAUCAUUCAUAUUCUGUUAAAGGGGGACGCCAAGUCAGAGGAGAGGAAAAAUUCAAUUGGCAUUGUUACAGCAAACAUGAUUGUAUUUAUCAUCUGCUACACACCCAUCCACCUAAGGUUAGCCGUCAAAGUGUUUGUUAAACUGCCCCCACACUACUGGUCCGAACAGAUAUUUUUAGCUGUGUCUCAAUGGAUUGCUUCUACAAACUGCUGCUUUGAUUCCAUCAGCUACUACUUUUUAUUGAAACGUUUUUAUUCAUAACUUUGAGAUUCUAAAUAAUAAUAUAAAUAAAAUAAUCUUUUGAGGUUUU
Long non-coding RNA from Notolabrus celidotus (New Zealand spotty), 1372 nucleotides. RefSeq lists it as uncharacterized. The record is from RefSeq and is a predicted model, not a curated record. Lineage: Eukaryota; Metazoa; Chordata; Actinopteri; Labriformes; Labridae. The transcript is spliced from 2 exons.